Molecule: ribosomal RNA, 368 nt
Filed under: uncultured bacterium
Lineage: Bacteria
Description: bacterial SSU rRNA
Rfam family: Bacterial small subunit ribosomal RNA
Source: RNAcentral
GGAGGGUGCGAGCGUUAUCCGGAAUUACUGGGUUUAAAGGGUGCGUAGGCGGCCAUGUAAGUCAGGAGUGAAAGUUUGCGGCUCAACCGUAAAAUUGCUUUUGAUACUGCAUGGCUGGAAUCAGGAUGAGGUCAGCGGAAUGUGGCAUGUAGCGGUGAAAUGCAUAGAUAUGCCAUAGAACACCAAUUGCGAAGGCAGCUGGCUAGACCUGUAUUGACGCUGAGGCACGAAAGCGUGGGGAGCGAACAGGAUUAGAUACCCUGGUAGUCCACGCCCUAAACGAUGCUUACUCGACGUAUGAAGCUUGUCUUUGUGCGUCCAAGGGAAACCGUUAAGUAAGCCACCUGGGGAGUACGACCGCAAGGUUG